UACGUAGGGACCAAGCGUUGUUCGGAUUUACUGGGCGUAAAGGGCGCGUAGGCGGCGCGGUAAGUCACUUGUGAAAUCUCUGAGCUUAACUCAGAACGGCCAAGUGAUACUGCAGUGCUAGAGUGUGGAAGGGGCAAUCGGAAUUCUUGGUGUAGCGGUGAAAUGCGUAGAUAUCAAGAGGAACACCUAAGGUGAAGACGGGUUGCUGGGGCAACACUGACGCUGAGGCGCGAAAGCCAGGGGAGCAAACGGG
Molecule: ribosomal RNA, 253 nt
Filed under: uncultured bacterium
Lineage: Bacteria
Description: partial 16S ribosomal RNA
Rfam family: Bacterial small subunit ribosomal RNA
Source: RNAcentral